AGCAGCCUAUGUACUUAAUUCUGUGUAUAUCUGAGAUCUAAAUGCAGUGUUCAGGUAUCUUUUAUAUGGCUAACACAAAAGACAGGAAAAAGACAGCUCUUAUAUAUGGUUUCUGCUUUAGUUGAUGUAUGUUUCUAUGAUUCUUCAUGGCAAAAUUUUUUUUUUCAGUGUUUCAGCAUGGAUGUAGCCCAGAUGUGUGAAAUACACAGCAGCAGAAUUUGAGUUUUGAAGUGAAAUAGUGCUUCCUUAUCUGAAGCAUCCUUCAAAAUGCAAGAUUAGAAGUUUCCUACAACGUCGUCUUCAAGACUCCCAGAAAAUUUUUCUGCAACUUGUGGAAUAUAUGAAUGUGUCCUGAAUAAGACUUGGUCAGAGCAGAUGGAAAUGUAGGAACUUCAAGGAGGAGUUCUCUUUUUGAAGUGAGUUUUCCUUUGGGCUCCUGCACCACGAGACAGCAGACCUUCAACUCAACCAGGGGCCAUUCUUCAUUCACCUGCUGCUUGCAUGCCUGAGAAGACAUGUAAAGGAGAACCCAACAGUGAAACUUCAGCAUUACUGUGGCUUGUAUGAAGGGAGAAGCGUGUCUUACCUACGCUGCCUGGAAAAAGAUGAUGUAGUAGCCUGGCAAAAUGAACUCAAGAAACAAGAAGAAGACACUAGAGACUGAUCUGCAAGUUGUUCAGGUUCACUGAUAAGAUGCAAACCAGAAUCAGCCUAUUGGUAGUCUUUCCAGACAUGAUUCAGAGCUAACAAGGGAGAUUGAGAAGUACCAUGACUCCAAACAGAACCAUUUUGGUAAGUCAGUCACCUAAGUCUGUUAAGAGCAUGGUCCUUCACAUGAACAGAUUUUUGUUCUGCUCAUUCAUAGUUAAAAUAUACUUUUAAGAAACAUUGCUAAAAGCACAAGCCAUUUACAUUUUGUAGAGUGUUCAUGCUGCCAGAAAACUGGAGAAUAAAAACCAGCACAUUCCUGCA
RNAcentral lists this long non-coding RNA (972 nucleotides) under Phasianus colchicus (ring-necked pheasant). Its description in RNAcentral is "lncRNA (ENSPCLG00000008558.1)". The record is from RNAcentral. Lineage: Eukaryota; Metazoa; Chordata; Aves; Galliformes; Phasianidae.